This is a microRNA precursor of Naja naja (Indian cobra), 92 nucleotides long. The record is from Ensembl. NCBI's taxonomy places the organism in Eukaryota, Metazoa, Chordata, Lepidosauria, Squamata, Elapidae.
UUGGUCUAGUUCUGUGUGGAAGACUAGUGAUUUUGUUGUUUUUAGAUUACUAAAGUGACAACAAAUCGCAGUCUACCAUAUGGCACAGUCCA